This 286-nucleotide unclassified non-coding RNA is filed under the name plant metagenome. Its description in RNAcentral is "partial contains small subunit ribosomal RNA, internal transcribed spacer 1, and 5.8S ribosomal RNA". The stretch from base 1 to 54 matches the Rfam family "Eukaryotic small subunit ribosomal RNA", at positions 1778 to 1831 of the family's 1831-position model. The record is from RNAcentral.
GGAAGUAAAAGUCGUAGCAAGGUUUCCGUAGGUGAACCUGCGGAAGGAUCAUUAUUGAAGCUUCAUCCGGGGCGCCGCGGCCCUCAGCACCGGUGGAAACGCCGUGCUGCGGGGGCCGCGCGUGCACUCGUCCAAACCAAACCCCUGUGAACCUUACGGGAUGGCCCGGGUUAGCGCCCGGUGCCGUUCCGCUUUAUACAAACACUUAUCAAAGAAUGAACUGAAGGCGGUCUGACCGCUGGAUAACAAACUGAAACAACUUUCAACAACGGAUCUCUUGGCUCUC